ACCUGCCUGUAAGACUGGGAUAACUCCGGGAAACCGGAGCUAAUACCGGAUAAUAUGUCAAACCGCAUGGUUUGACAUUCAAAGACGGUUUCGGCUGUCACUUACAGAUGGGCCCGCGGCGCAUUAGCUAGUUGGUGAGGUAAUGGCUCACCAAGGCAACGAUGCGUAGCCGACCUGAGAGGGUGAUCGGCCACACUGGGACUGAGACACGGCCCAGACUCCUACGGGAGGCAGCAGUAGGGAAUCUUCCGCAAUGGACGAAAGUCUGACGGAGCAACGCCGCGUGAGUGAUGAAGGUUUUCGGAUCGUAAAACUCUGUUGUCAGGGAAGAACAAGUGCCGGAGUAACUGCCGGCACCUUGACGGUACCUGACCAGAAAGCCACGGCUAACUACGUGCCAGCAGCCGCGGUAAUACGUAGGUGGCAAGCGUUGUCCGGAAUUAUUGGGCGUAAAGCGCGCGCAGGCGGUUUCUUAAGUCUGAUGUGAAAGCCCCCGGCUCAACCGGGGAGGGUCAUUGGAAACUGGGAAACUUGAGUGCAGAAGAGGAGAGUGGAAUUCCACGUGUAGCGGUGAAAUGCGUAGAGAUGUGGAGGAACACCAGUGGCGAAGGCGACUCUCUGGUCUGUAACUGACGCUGAGGCGCGAAAGCGUGGGGAGCGAACAGGAUUAGAUACCCUGGUAGUCCACGCCGUAAACGAUGAGUGCUAAGUGUUAGAGGGUUUCCGCCCUUUAGUGCUGCAGCAACGCAUUAAGCACUCCGCCUGGGGAGUACGGUCGCAAGACUGAAACUCAA
Molecule: ribosomal RNA, 794 nt
Filed under: Bacillus sp. (in: firmicutes)
Lineage: Bacteria; Bacillati; Bacillota; Bacilli; Caryophanales; Bacillaceae
Description: bacterial SSU rRNA
Rfam family: Bacterial small subunit ribosomal RNA
Source: RNAcentral